This 447-nucleotide ribosomal RNA is filed under the name uncultured bacterium. RNAcentral's name for it is "partial 16S ribosomal RNA". It matches the Rfam family "Bacterial small subunit ribosomal RNA", at positions 29 to 523 of the family's 1533-position model. The record is from RNAcentral.
AACGAACGCUGGCGGCAUGCCUAACACAUGCAAGUCGAACGCCCCGCAAGGGGAGUGGCGAACGGGUGAGUAACGCGUGGGAACCUACCCAGCAGUUGGGGAUAACCGCGGGAAACUGCGGCUAAUACCGAAUACGUCCUAAGGGAGAAAGAUUUAUCGCUGUUGGAGGGGCCCGAGUCGGAUUAGCUAGUUGGUGAGGUAACGGCUCACCAAGGCGACGAUCCUUAGCUGGUCUGAGAGGAUGAUCAGCCACACUGGGACUUAGACACGGCCCGGACUCCUACGGGAGGCAGCAGUGGGGAAUAUUGGACAAUGGGGGCAACCCUGAUCCAGCAAUGCCGCGUGAGUGAUGACGGCCUUAGGGUUGUAAAGCUCUUUUACCGGGGACGAUGAUGACGGUACCCGGAGAAUAAGCCCCGGCUAACUUCGUGCCAGCAGCCGCCGUAA